Molecule: ribosomal RNA, 442 nt
Filed under: uncultured bacterium
Lineage: Bacteria
Description: partial 16S ribosomal RNA
Rfam family: Bacterial small subunit ribosomal RNA
Source: RNAcentral
CUACGGGUCGCUCCAGUGGGGAAUAUUGGACAAUGGACCAAAAGUCUGAUCCAGCAAUUCUGUGUGUUUGAUGAAGGCCUUCGGGUUGUAAAGAACUUUAAGUAGGGAAGAAGAAAGUGACGGUACCUACAGAAUAAGCGACGGCUAAAUACGUGCCAGCAGCCGCGGUAAUACGUAUGUCGCAAGCGUUAUCCGGAAUUAUUGGGCAUAAAGCGCGUCUAGGCGGUUUACUAAGUCUGAUGUGAAAAUGCGGGGCUCAACUCCGUAUUGCGUUGGAAACUGGUAGACUAGAGUAUUGGAGAGGUAGGCGGAACUACAAGUGUAGAGGUGAAAUUCGUAGAUAUUUGUAGGAAUGCCAAUGACGAAGGUAGCUUACUGGACAAAUACUGACGCUGAAGCGCGAAAGCUAGGGGAGCAAACAGGAUUAGAUACCCCCGUAGUC